This 481-nucleotide ribosomal RNA is filed under the name uncultured bacterium. RNAcentral describes it as "partial 16S ribosomal RNA". It matches the Rfam family "Bacterial small subunit ribosomal RNA", at positions 28 to 507 of the family's 1533-position model. The record is from RNAcentral.
GAUGAACGCUGGCGGCGUGCCUAACACAUGCAAGUCGAGCGAAGCACUUACUUUAGAUUUCUUCGGAAUGACGAAGUUUGUGACUGAGCGGCGGACGGGUGAGUAACGCGUGGGCAACCUGCCCUGUACAGGGGGAUAACAGUUAGAAAUGACUGCCAAUACCGCAUAAGCCCACAGCUUCGCAUGAAGCAGUGGGAAAAACUCCGGUGGUACAGGAUGGGCCCGCGUCUGAUUAGCUAGUUGGUAAGGUAACGGCUUACCAAGGCGACGAUCAGUAGCCGACCUGAGAGGGUGACCGGCCACAUUGGGACUGAGGCACGGCCCAAACUCCUACGGGAGGCAGCAGUGGGGAAUAUUGCACAAUGGGGGAAACCCUGAUGCAGCGACGCCGCGUGAGCGAUGAAGUAUUUCGGUAUGUAAAGCUCUAUCAGCAGGGAAGAAAGUGACGGUACCUGACUAAGAAGCCCCGGCUAACUACGUG